This 414-nucleotide ribosomal RNA is filed under the name uncultured bacterium. Its description in RNAcentral is "bacterial SSU rRNA". It matches the Rfam family "Bacterial small subunit ribosomal RNA", at positions 29 to 489 of the family's 1533-position model. The record is from RNAcentral.
AACGAACGCUGGCGGCAGGCUUAACACAUGCAAGUCGAACGCCCCGCAAGGGGAGUGGCGCACGGGUGAGUAACGCGUGGGAAUAUGCCCCUUCGGUUCGGAAUAACACAGGGGAAACUUGUGCUAAUACCGGAUACGAUCUACGGAUGAAAGAUUUAUCGCCGAGGGAGUAGCCCGCGUAGGAUUAGCUAGUUGGUGAGGUAAUGGCUCACCAAGGCGACGAUCCUUAGCUGGUCUGAGAGGAUGAUCAGCCACACUGGGACUGAGACACGGCCCAGACUCCUACGGGAGGCAGCAGUGGGGAAUAUUGGACAAUGGGCGAAAGCCUGAUCCAGCCAUGCCGCGUGAGUGAUGAAGGCCUUAGGUUGUAAAGCUCUUUCGCCAGGGAAGAUAAUGACGGUACCUGGAAAAUAA